This 253-nucleotide ribosomal RNA is filed under the name uncultured bacterium. RNAcentral describes it as "partial 16S ribosomal RNA". It matches the Rfam family "Bacterial small subunit ribosomal RNA", at positions 524 to 776 of the family's 1533-position model. The record is from RNAcentral.
UACAGAGGUCCCAAGCGUUGUUCGGAUUCACUGGGCGUAAAGGGUGCGCAGGUGGGUUUGCAAGUUCGAUGUGAAAGCCCUGGGCUCAACCUGGGAAUUGCAUUGGAUACUGGCAGGCUAGAGUGCGGUAGAGGGUAGUGGAAUUCCCGGUGUAGCAGUGAAAUGCGUAGAGAUCGGGAGGAACACCAGUGGCGAAGGCGACUACCUGGACCAGCACUGACACUGAGGCACGAAAGCGUGGGGAGCAAACAGG